Molecule: ribosomal RNA, 406 nt
Filed under: uncultured bacterium
Lineage: Bacteria
Description: partial 16S ribosomal RNA
Rfam family: Bacterial small subunit ribosomal RNA
Source: RNAcentral
AUUGAACGCUGGCGGCAGGCCUAACACAUGCAAGUCGAACGAGUGGCGGACGGGUGAGUAAUGUCUGGGAAACUGCCCGAUGGAGGGGGAUAACUACUGGAAAGGGUAGCUAAUACCGCAUACCAUCGGAUGUGCCCAGAUGGGAUUAGCUAGGAGGUGGGGUAACGGCUCACCUAGGCGACGACCCCUAGCGGGUCUGAGAGGAUGACCAGCCACACUGGAACUUAGACACGGUCCAGACUCCUACGGGAGGCAGCAGUGGGGAAUAUUGCACAAUGGGCGCAAGCCUGAUGCAGCCAUGCCGCGUGUAUGAAGAAGGCCUUCGGGUUGUAAAGUACUUUCAGCGAGGAGGCGUUACUCGCAGAAGAAGCACCGGCUAACUCCGUGCCAGCAGCCGCGGUAAUAC